RNAcentral lists this unclassified non-coding RNA (339 nucleotides) under soil metagenome. Its description in RNAcentral is "partial contains 5.8S ribosomal RNA, internal transcribed spacer 2, and large subunit ribosomal RNA". The stretch from base 1 to 120 matches the Rfam family "5.8S ribosomal RNA", at positions 35 to 154 of the family's 154-position model. The record is from RNAcentral.
GAUGAAGAACGUAGCGAAAGGCGAUACGUAGUGUGAAUUGCAGAAUUCAGUGAAUCAUCGAAUCUUUGAACGCACAUUGCACCUCUCGGUAUUCCGGGAGGUAUGCCUGUUCGAGCGUCAUUUGUACCCUCAAGCUCUGCUUGGUGUUGGGUGUUUGUUCCGCCUCUGUGUGUGAACUCGCCUCAAAACAAUUGGCAGCCGGCGUACUUGUUUCGGAGCGCAGCACAUUUUGCGAUCCAGAUCAACGUACAGCGGCAUCCAAGAAGCCUUAUUUAACGCUCUUGACCUCGGAUCAGGUAGGGAUACCCGCUGAACUUAAGCAUAUCAAUAAGCGGAGGA